Molecule: non-coding RNA, 21 nt
Filed under: Rattus norvegicus (Norway rat)
Lineage: Eukaryota; Metazoa; Chordata; Mammalia; Rodentia; Muridae
Source: RNAcentral
UGCUUUGAGUUCCUGCAGGUA